RNAcentral lists this ribosomal RNA (497 nucleotides) under uncultured bacterium. Its description in RNAcentral is "partial 16S ribosomal RNA". It matches the Rfam family "Bacterial small subunit ribosomal RNA", at positions 28 to 507 of the family's 1533-position model. The record is from RNAcentral.
GAUGAACGCUGGCGGCGUGCCUAAUACAUGCAAGUCGAGCGAACGGACGAGAAGCUUGCUUUUCUGAUGUUAGCGGCGGACGGGUGAGUAACACGUGGAUAACCUACCUAUAAGACUGGGAUAACUUCGGGAAACCGGAGCUAAUACUGGAUCAUAUUUUGAACCGCAUGGUUCAAAAGUGAAAGACGGUCUUGCUGUCACUUAUAGCUGGAUCCGCGCUGCAUUAGCUAGUUGGUAAGGUAACGGCUUACCAAGGCAACGAUGCAUAGCCGACCUGAGAGGGUGAUCGGCCACACUGGAACUGAGACACGGUCCAGACUCCUACGGGAGGCAGCAGUAGGGAAUCUUCGGCAAUGGGCGAAAGCCUGACGCAGCAACGCCGCGUGAGUGAUGAAGGUCUUCGGAUCGUAAAACUCUGUUAUUAGGGAAGAACAUAUGUGUGAGUAACUGUGCACAUCUUGACGGUACCUAAUGAGAAAGCAACGGCUAACUACGUG